CCGGGCGACCUACCCAUGAGCAGGAUGAAGCGAAAGUAAAAUUUCGUGGAGGUCCGAACCCACGAGCGUUGAAAAGCUCGGGGAUGACUUGUGGGUAGCGGGGAAAUUCCAAUCGAGCCCGGAGAUAGCUGGUUCUCCCCGAAAUAGCUUUAGGGCUAGCCUCAAGGUGAGAGAUACGGAGGUAGAGCACUGAAUGUCCUAGGGGG
RNAcentral lists this ribosomal RNA (206 nucleotides) under Clostridioides difficile. Its description in RNAcentral is "partial 23S ribosomal RNA". It matches the Rfam family "Bacterial large subunit ribosomal RNA", at positions 721 to 926 of the family's 2925-position model. Lineage: Bacteria; Bacillati; Bacillota; Clostridia; Peptostreptococcales; Peptostreptococcaceae. The record is from RNAcentral.